UAAGGUAUUUAACUGUUACCAAUGAUCCAUUGCCUGUAAGGAUCAGCGUUGAGCGGCGAACAAAAACUCCCGUAGCCUGAAAGGGAGUGCAUGCAAUGCGGUACAUCUACGCACUUUUGGAAGCAGAUAUCAUCAGACCAAUAACCC
RNAcentral lists this small RNA (147 nucleotides) under Xenorhabdus budapestensis. RNAcentral's name for it is "STAXI". It matches the Rfam family "STAXI RNA". The record is from RNAcentral. Lineage: Bacteria; Pseudomonadati; Pseudomonadota; Gammaproteobacteria; Enterobacterales; Morganellaceae.